GAGGGUAUAGCUCAGUGGUAGAGCACAUGCUUAGCAUGCACAAGGUCCUGGGUUCAAGCCCCAGUACCUCCA
Molecule: transfer RNA, 72 nt
Filed under: Camelus bactrianus (Bactrian camel)
Lineage: Eukaryota; Metazoa; Chordata; Mammalia; Artiodactyla; Camelidae
Also listed under: 3 other names
Rfam family: tRNA
About the family: Transfer RNA (tRNA) molecules are approximately 80 nucleotides in length. Their secondary structure includes four short double-helical elements and three loops (D, anti-codon, and T loops).
Source: Rfam by way of RNAcentral